GGGGUUGUGGCUCAGUGGUAGAGCGCUUACCUGGCAUGCAAGAGACACUGGGUUUGAUUCUCAGCACCA
Non-coding RNA from Ictidomys tridecemlineatus (thirteen-lined ground squirrel), 69 nucleotides. The record is from Rfam. NCBI's taxonomy places the organism in Eukaryota, Metazoa, Chordata, Mammalia, Rodentia, Sciuridae.